ACGCUGGUCCUCUGUGUGUCGCCUCCUCUUCCUCCACGACACCUCCGCGUACUCACAGACAACAGCCGCUGGAAGCGCCUCGGUCGUCAUCGUCAUCGUCACCUCCACCAGUUCCACGAUCUGGCCACGUCACCGGGAGAAAGCCUUUUGCAGUGUUGUAGGGCCGCCGGGGAGUUGCGCAAGGGGCCGGGAGUCUCCGGGGAUGCCGGCACUGCCUCGUCUCAUCUCUCCCUCUUUCUCUCUCCAUCUCAGUUUAUGGAAAGAUAGAUACGAGAAUAAGUUAUUAUGUACGUGCUCCUCCCUUGCAGGAACACAGAGUUGUGCAGCUGGUGGUGUCUUGACCAAGGAUUGUCGUGAUGAGCAUCCAUUGAUGGCACUGCCUCCUCCUCCAUAUCAUGCCCAGGUACCUAUCUUUGGUGUUGAUUGUCUCCUCACAUUUCUGUGAGAGCUUUGGUUAAUAGCAGAUAUCUUGGGAGUUCAGAAUACUCUGUUUUGGUGACUCAAGAAAGAAAGAAACCCAAGAUCUCCUGAUAUUUAUGAGAAACCAUAUGAUGAAUACCUGAUAUAUUGCACAUUGCAUGUAUCAGUUACAUCCUGAUUGUAAUAUCAGCCACAGGUCACACACAUGGUUUGUUUUAUGUCUCUAUAUUGUCACAAUGAUGGACUGGUAUAACCGUAUAAGGUAUAUGAAAAUCUGCACACAUCUUGACAUAUCUGCAUACAUGAAUGACUAAUACUGCCAUUUUCCCAUUCUCUUGCUGAUGUUUACAUAAUACUUUGCCUUUUCAAGUCUACAAAUGUUUUCUCCUCUGCAGACCAUAGAGGGAUGCGUCACAUGACACUCAAUGCCAUGUUUUCAUUGUACUAGAAAAACUGAUUGUCCUGAUCAGUUUUGUUCAUAACCGUAUCUUGAAGAUAAAAGGCAAAAUAAUCCGGUUCCCAACAUUCAAAUUUCGUAAUCCAGCUUAAGUAGUUAAACACUUUUAGUUGUUCUCCUUAAAGUUACAUUAUGUGCCAUUUAAUCUAACCAUUACGAUCAAAUUGUCUCCAGGGUUAGGUACCCAGAUCGUAUUUUAAUACGAGGAAAUCAUGAGCAGGCAGAUCAGACAAGUUAUGGCGUCUAUGAUGAGUGUCUUCGUAAAUACGGCUCGGUGAAUGUGUGGAGAUGUUGCAGAGAAAUAUUCGACUAUUUAAGUUUGUCUGCACUUAUCGAGAACAAAAUCUUCAAUGUCCAUGUAGGCCUUUCCCUUGCUAUUACGGCACUGGAUCAGAAAGGUGCCUCAUGAUGGUGUGUGUGACCGUCUUUGGUCUGAUCCAGAGGGUGUUGUAGAUGGUUUCUUUACCAGAUUGCGUGCACUUCUAUUUGCAAUAUGAUUGAAGAUGCAAAGAAGGGUUUGAUUUCACCUCCUGUAACGACAAUGAUCAAGAUGUACACUGCCAGGAAGAAGAUAAGGGCAUCGAGCCCUCCGAAUUCGAGGCUACCGUCGCGCAUGUUUUAUUUCACUUGGAGAAAGACAAUCAAGAGCUCAAGGGUGACCUUAAGGACAUGUACAUCAACACUGCAAUAUAAGUACCGUAUGCGCAAGGGCUUCAGGAAGAUACACGGCGGAUUCUUGUGUCGUACCAAAUAGAUCGGAUUUAUUUGUAGAUUAGUUUUUUGGCAUCUGCGUUGUUGUGAUGUUCAUGGUUGUUGAUUUCAGUCUGUAGUAACCAGCUCUUCUCUCUUGUUAGUGUUUUUGCAUGGAAUUCGAUAUGCCUGUGUUGACUAGGAACGGUUGUCAGUGCCUUUAAUCAGUCAUCCAUCUUGUAAGAUUGUCACCUCUCUAUUAAUAGACCUAUGAUCUUCCUCUGCUUUA
This is a long non-coding RNA of Hordeum vulgare subsp. vulgare (domesticated barley), 1856 nucleotides long. RefSeq lists it as uncharacterized. The record is from RefSeq and is a predicted model, not a curated record. The transcript has 8 exons. NCBI's taxonomy places the organism in Eukaryota, Viridiplantae, Streptophyta, Magnoliopsida, Poales, Poaceae.